CCGGAAAGCAUUACCUUCGCAACACUUUUGGAAAAGGGAACCGCGUGAAAACCGCGGACUGUCCCCGCAACUGUAGAUCACAACAAAAAAAUUUGCUUCAAAUAAAACCACUGGAAACGGGAAGGUGAAGCAAAUGUGAAAGUCAGGAAACCUUGCCAAAAGACUGUUUAUUU
Molecule: non-coding RNA, 173 nt
Filed under: Flavobacteriaceae bacterium 3519-10
Lineage: Bacteria; Pseudomonadati; Bacteroidota; Flavobacteriia; Flavobacteriales; Flavobacteriaceae
Also listed under: 1 other name
Source: RNAcentral